This is a long non-coding RNA of Parus major (Great Tit), 3843 nucleotides long. RefSeq lists it as uncharacterized. The record is from RefSeq and is a predicted model, not a curated record. NCBI's taxonomy places the organism in Eukaryota, Metazoa, Chordata, Aves, Passeriformes, Paridae. The transcript is spliced from 2 exons.
AAACAAAGCUAAGAAAUAUUUCCUUAUCCCUUCUUGUUCCACAGUGACAAACUAUUUCUGCUUUUAAACUACAAAUCAACAACAGCACUUUUCUCAUCCAGCUUACAGAGGUUUUUCGAUUUAGACCCUUUCAGUGCUGUCAUCUGGGCUCUGGGGGUAAACUGAAUGCAGAUUUCUGCAGCUGAGCUGCAACGAGAUUAUUUUCAGACAGAGAACCGCCUGAUGUUGGCACAGACCUGCCAGGCUGUGUCCUUAACAACUGCUUCCCAAAACACCACUGCAUGGGAAAUAAAGGCAGAGAGGCUGUGAACAAUGCCUCUUUGUGUCCUACCGAUUUCCAGGAACAGUAGGGCUGGCCCCAGGCUGUGACAGUGUUUCCACACACCUUUCCCCAGCACAUCCCCGAGCCAGGCUUUCACAACCGAGGGCUGCUCUGAGGGGUCGUCAUGCCAUGUGCCAGGCUCCUGCGGGCUCCUGCCCCUCUCGGGAAUCUUUCAUGGGCAACGGGAACCUUCUUCUAUAGAGUCCGCAGUCAAGGGUAACCUGCAGAUGAUACCUCUUUCCCCAGUCAGAGUCUGACUCCUGAUGACAAAUUUCUUGCAAAAAUUUCAAGAAUCUAACUGCAAUGUCACUGGUCUCAUAUUCCAUAUGAGUGGCAAAAACCAAUUUCAUGAGAACACGGCGUUCCCAAUUUCCCUCUAGUGCUGCCAUAGCACUCCUGAAUUUUAAAGCUAUUCUAAGAGUUUCUUCUCAGAAAUGCAGACUCACUACAAGACCCCCCAGAACCUAAGAUGCUUUUUCUUGGUUUAUUUUUCAUUUAAAUAUGCGAAGCAGAUGCAGAUGUCUGCUUGCAUUUUUCAACCAUCUGUUUUAAUAACUAGCUACAGGAUGGACUCUACAGUGACCUUGUUUUCCAGUCUCCAAGUAUAUAGAUGAAGCUGUUUAAAAUAUGACUUAAAUUCAAUGAUUGACUUGCAAAAAAAGAGGCCUGGAGUCUGAAGGCACACUAGUAGUUUCACACACUGUCUGCUCAGAUGAAAUGUCUCCUUUUUUACACUGGCAUACCUGACAAUGAGUAAACAGCAACAUCAAAGUUUAUAAAGUCUUUAUUUCUUUAUUCACCAAGUUAUCUUUUGUUUUAAGACAUACACUUCUUUGAAGAUAACCUAAGACUCACUAUAAGAUUACUUGCCAGCUAAUGCAAAGUAUAUUUACAUCUUUAAAGAAAAGUUUUCCUGGGUGCCAGUGUUGCUAAACCCUGCAGUUUUUUAUCACAAGGCUAUAUAACAUUGGGUAUUUUCUUCGAUGCUCUGGCUUCUGAAACCAAGAUACUAAAUUAAUUUUGCAAGAAUAAGAAGGCUCUUUGGUCCCUCAGGAACAUUCUGCAAGCUUCCCUAUUUCAUCAUUUGAAUAUCUGAUCAGGAAAGCUUGGUAACACCAUGUCUCUUCACAUUUCCAGAGCCUCCAGAGAAACAACACUCCUAUGAAUGUUACGAAAUAUUUUGUGACGUAUUUUAUCACCACUCAUCAGAGACCCAGGCUAAGGAAUUCAAACCAUGGAUAGGAACGAGCUUUCCAAGCACCACUUCUUGCAGACAGAAUUGGGCUUGUUCUGGCUCGGGGCAGAGCCCAGCACAACCCAGCAGAGCCAAGCAAGGAGUGGAGUGGGUUGGGAUGGCAGCACUAGAUGGGUUGAUUCUACCUGAUGCCAGUGAUUCAUGGGGAUUUUGCAUCAACAGAAGUUUCAGGAUGCAUUUAAAGAAAAGACAGUUGCCACCUAUCCUUUUAAGUAAAAAGUACAGGUCUGUGGCCCACCCUGCCCUUGGAAAGCAUCCUGCACCUUACAGUACCAUCAGGACUCCUUGAAUAUUCAGCAGUUCUGGAAGUCAUGACACCUCCCUUAAGCCUCCACAAAUGCAAAUGAACCUAAACCAUAAGAGCAAACUCCUGGAGAAAAUAAAACUCUUUAUUUGUAAGAGAGGAAAAAUUACCAAAUACAUCCCAGGAAGACAUUCCCUUCAGCAUUAACCUUUACUAUUCAGCAAAUUAAUAAAACCUACAGAUCCUUAGUAUUUCCAUGAAGAACACAGACCUAGCAAUUAAUAGUGAACCUGUUCAUGUCCCUAUGCAGAAAAAAAUAUUUUUCCGUGUUUUGAAAAAACUGGACAAUAUUUUUAAUGGUCAGCACCAAGCCACGAUCACCAAAUGGAUCAGAAUGAAAAUAACUGUAGGCAGUGUGCCUUCCCUGUGCGUCCACUUUUCCCAUGUACAGGUAGAAAAUAGGUCCCAGAUAAUUAACUCAUAUUCCUCUUCUGCACAGUUGUACAAAGAAAAAUUAUUUAACUACAUUUCCAUUUUACUUUACAAAGUCUAGAUCAGUGCUCCUACACACGGAGUAUUAAUGAACUACCAAGCAAGAGAAAACACAUCCUAUAUAACAUACACACUUUCAACACCUUUCACAAAUUUUAAUGUCUUCAGAUUUUCAUAAUCUCAAUGCAAUUUAUUCCUAACACCACUUUCCAAAUUUCAAACUUUCUCACUGGGAAGACACAAAGGUGAGCAGCACUUGCUUCUGGUCUUGUCUCUCUGCAAAUGCACCAUCGAGCUUGAUGGCUUCCACACACUCGGCAACCAGGACUGACAAAAGGUUACAAAUGGAUCUACUCUCAGCUGUUACUGGAUACUGCUAGACCUGCAGCCCUUUGAUUCUUAGUCUUGAAAUUAGGAUCAUGAAGUUAACUGUGGGAAGCCAGAGUCAUUUCACUGGGAAUGUUCAUGGAAAUUACUGUGUUACCAGGGUGGCUGAUGGUAACCUCAAAUUUCCCUUUAUUAUUUUGUUGCCUGUUUCCAGCCAAGAGCCAGGGUAGUAACAUCGUAUUGUUUUCAUGCCAUUUGCAUACAGAACUCCACCAGUAUAUCUUUAGCUGAAGAGCAGACAAAUACACAUGUUACAAUCUCCAUAUACCAUCAGAACACCGACAUGGGGAUACUGGCCAUUAUGGCCAGUUCACAUACCCUGCUAUCCCAUCCUUAGCAACAAUCAUGAAAAAAACCUCCAGAAAAGAGCCAAGAACAGAAGCAAUACUGAAUACUUGAAGCAUUUCACAAAUUUAAACUGUCUUAUGACUUUGUGCCAUUUUCUACAUAUUUUUGUGAAUAUACAAAUUUAGUGCUUUAGCUACCUCGCCUCUGUUUACAGAGGUGGAUAAAGAGGGGAAGAAAGGAAAAAUCUGUAACUAAUUAAAAAUUCUAAACCUCAAAAUGACCUAGUCUGGGAGUUCUUUUAGGCACAUUAACGCUAUACUUCUGGUACUUCUGUGUAAGUCACAUGGCUGGCUAGGAGGCAAACAGCAUGUUUCUCCUUGGAGGUAUGGAAAUCUCUUUCUCUGCAUACUGUAGAGCACUGAUGCUUGAUAGGGAGGAGUGAGUGAGCAGAUACAAAUCACCUGGGGGUCCAGCCAUCUGCCUCUCACCCUACCAGAUCAGAGGAUCUCAGCUUUAAACCUAUUUCCUGCCUCAGCAAAAAAAUGUGUUUUACCCUUGGCAAACGUACAUCCAGGUGGAACUCUCUUCAUUCUCUGGGUAAAAAGUCAACCUUCCUAUCCCAGAUUGGGCUGUUUGUUCAUUUGGUGUUUUUUCUCCUUGUAAGAAAAUGCCAUCUGCCUAAAACUGUUCAAAAAGGCUGAAAUGGACAAAAGUAAUAUAGAAGAAAAAUUAGGAAGCACAUGUACGGUGGUCAAAAAUGUGUAACAAAUGUUAUUUGACUUCUGACUGUCAUUCAUCAUGGAUAUCGCUGAGCACAUCUGGCAUACACAAAAACAUUAAAAAAGUCCCUUUCCA